UGAAAGAUCAUGCAAUUCUCAUGUCUUAUUUUUUUAAGGGAAAAUUACCUAGAAACAUGCAUUUAAAGACCAAUUUUCAAAAAAAACAAGAAGAUUAAAUUACAUUUCACAAAUCAGGUGAUAAUUCGUUUUUAAUAAUUAUAUUAUAAAAUUAAUUAAUUUACCAAAUCUCACACCAACCCAAACCCAUUCUCACUCUAAUCUCUUUCUCACCGUCUUUUCUUUCUCCUUCUUUAUUGGAGCAGCGACAGCGCCUCUAAUGAUCGAAGAGCGGCGAUUUGUGCUUCGACGACUCUUUCUACUCUCUUCUCUUCACAUAUUCCAUCUUCUUUCUUACUAUGGAGGGGGACCGGCGUCACUAGAUCGAUGCAGUUGAGCGUUCGUCUCUUACUUGCAACGACAUCGACUACGAGAUCGGCAAAGUUGAGCGUUCUUCGCUCAUUUUCGUCUUUCUCGUUGUUCGAAUCAAUUGGCUUUGUUUUCUCUUUUCUUUUGAUUUUGUGGUGGCCGGAGUUUUUGAGUAGAUUUGCGGUAGCGGUGACAGUAGCUUGUUUAGGAACUUUGUUGUUCAACUUGCAAUUUCAAAUUUGAGUUUGAUUUCUCGGCUCCGCUGGCCGACAGUGGCGCGCCGCCGAGGUCCAUGAGCUCAGCCAAUGAAUUGUUCUUGAAUGGCCAGAUUCGACAACGUGUGAAUCUGGGUCUGCAUCGAGGUCUUGUAUAGAAGUAAAAGUGAAGGUAGAAAAAACAAGCAUAAAUUCUGGGGUCCUUAUCAUUUUCACCUGUCAAAGACAAGAAAAUGGAGAAGCCCAUUCCCAACCCCAAAAACUCAUCAACUAAGAAAACUAAAAAUGCUGCAAAUUCAAUAGCAGAAGUAGUAAAUUCCAACAUUGGAGCCACACAAAAAAGUUACGAAAUAGGUGAAAAACAGGGCAGUAAAUGGGAUUGGUAAAAGAAGGGUGUCUCUGUCUCCUCAUGAAUUGCUUUACACCGUAAAUAGGGCAUAGGCAGAGGAGAUGAGGAAGAAGACAUUUUUGCCUUAUACACAAUUGUUGGGUUGUUUACUUUAGGAUUCAGUUCAAAGGACUAUGGUGCCAUGAAUGGUUUUGCUAGAGCUUUGAACUCUGUGUCAUUAAGGUAAAAAAUGAAUUUUCAAGAAAAUGUGUUGAUUUCUUGAACAUGGGGUUCUUAAGUGCUAGAUUUGUAUAGAAUAUAUUUUAUUUUCUAAAUUUUGUUCAUGUUUUUUGGUGCUUAUGUGUUUGCAUUUAUUCAUUAUUAUUAUUAUUAGCAGCUUUGCAUGGAGAAAGAGAAAUGAUUUCUGUUGAUUCUGUAAAAUAUAUUUCGAGAAAUUUACUCAGUAUCACUAGCUGAUGUUGUGGUG
Molecule: long non-coding RNA, 1378 nt
Filed under: Olea europaea subsp. europaea
Lineage: Eukaryota; Viridiplantae; Streptophyta; Magnoliopsida; Lamiales; Oleaceae
Source: RNAcentral